This 468-nucleotide ribosomal RNA is filed under the name uncultured bacterium. RNAcentral's name for it is "partial 16S ribosomal RNA". It matches the Rfam family "Bacterial small subunit ribosomal RNA", at positions 28 to 507 of the family's 1533-position model. The record is from RNAcentral.
GACGAACGCUGGCGGCGUGCUUAACACAUGCAAGUCGAACGGAAAGGCCCUGCUUUUGUGGGUUGCUCGAGUGGCGAACGGGUGAGUAACACGUGAGUAACCUGCCCUUGACUUUGGGAUAACUUCGGGAAACUGGGGCUAAUACCGGAUAGGAGCUCCUGCUGCAUGGUGGGGGUUGGAAAGUUUCGGCGGUUGGGGAUGGACUCGCGGCUUAUCAGCUUGUUGGUGGGGUUGUGGCUUACCAAGGCUUUGACGGGUAGCCGGCCUGAGAGGGUGACCGGCCACAUUGGGACUGAGAUACGGCCCAGACUCCUACGGGAGGCAGCAGUGGGGAAUAUUGCACAAUGGGCGGAAGCCUGAUGCAGCAACGCCGCGUGCGGGAUGACGGCCUUCGGGUUGUAAACCGCUUUCGCCUGUGACGAAGCGUGAGUGACGGUAAUGGGUAAAGAAGCACCGGCUAACUACGUG